RNAcentral lists this unclassified non-coding RNA (3115 nucleotides) under Pomacea canaliculata. RNAcentral's name for it is "uncharacterized LOC112569286, transcript variant X4". Lineage: Eukaryota; Metazoa; Mollusca; Gastropoda; Architaenioglossa; Ampullariidae. The record is from RNAcentral.
CCUAAAUGAAGUAAUGCAUAGUAAUACUGUAUAACAUCGUAACAUAAUCUUUGUGACUGUAACUCUGUCUUCUCAAUUAUAAUUUUGAUCUGUAUGGGAGAUCAUACGAACUCUCAACUCGUGUUUCGUGCUUGGCACACCCUAACACUAAUUUGCGGCCAUUCAGCAGCCCAGGAUGUUACACUUACAGAAUCCUAUAAAUAACAGACUUUAAUUGCAACGACCUCAUUGUUAUUCAGUUGUUCUGUUUGACAACGUCCUUCGUUCACUUGAAGAGUAUUCCUGUAUGGGAGCUACAGCAACAACCACAUCAUGGAAAUGAAGAUGACUAUGGGUUUGCUUCUUCUAUUUGCGAUCGUUGUAGCAUUUAUUCCAACUGUUUCGGCACGAAGCAAGCAGAAUUUUGAAACAGGACAUCAUUUAGUCCUGGAACCAGAACAUUCUGACCUCAGCGAAAACCAAGUGAAGGCUAAGUCUGACAGCAAACAACACUCACGAGAAAAGGAUGCUGGACAAGGCAUUUUGCACGACCAACCACCUCUCCAGGGUCCUGGUCAAGUCAACACUCGACUUCCUGGAGUCGACUUCGCUUUGUACGGGUAUAACAGUCUGAAGGGAUGCCCACUGGCACCAGGUCGCGAUCCUGGCUUCACCUUGCCCAUAUUCUCUGCUGACUACAGUGCAGGUCACGUGAUCACGGACAAUAGUUACAGUGUGCCACGUGGGGUGAUUCUUGCACCGGAUGUGUCGUGUGUAACGUCCUUUACAUCAGAGGUCAUUCAGACGCCCUAUGACCUCACCAAGUUUACGAGUCGCACAGUGCAGCUCGAUGGCGGCGAUUGGGGGCCUCCAUUUGCGGCCAACCCUGUCUUUCAGAAAAUUCUCGCUGAAUUGAGAGAGAAAGUCCUGAUCGUGUCAUCAGUCACUUGCAGUUCAUAUCUUGUUUCUCUUUUACAUUUAGAGCCACCACCAUUCCAUUCAAUGUUCCUAAAGUGGGUCCUGAGACUUAAUAAUACAAGUGAUGAGCACCUUUACCUGGAAUUUCUUGACACCUACGGCACACACUUUGUCUCACAAGUCCGCCUGGGAGCUUCGCUAACUUUGGUGCACAAAAUGGAGACUAGCAACUACAACAGGUAUGGACAGGGUCACGUGACGGCUUCUGCAAACUAUUUAUCUGCUUCGCUACUUGGAGAGUCUGAGACCUUAAGUUCCAAUCAGAAAAAACAAGCAGACGAGCUUCAAAGUCAAGUAGAGACAAGUACAGUCGGUGUUGGGGUACCUCCCACUAACAGCGCCAGUAGCUUGGCCUGGCUUACACAAGUAGGGAACAACCCGGUCGCCAUUAACUAUGUCUUGACUCCAAUAGACCUUCUUUUCUCAGAAACAAUUGUCGGUGACUGGGGUCCUCUAAAUCACGAUUCUGUUGAUCUUGACAAGAUAAAAACCAAACUAAUAACUAUUAAGAAGAAAUAUUGUCAGACUUUAAAGAAGAAAGGUCAGCUAUUUGAAUGUGAAGAGCCCACACCUGGAUUACAUCUUAGUCGUACGAGGCUAAUCGGUGUCUCCAUCUUCAGAGAGUUUGUAUCCGGUGAACAUUGUAUGGAGGAGUGUUACAAGCUUCCUGACUGUGUGGCCGUCACUUUUUGUCCCGAGUGUGACAGUAACGACAAGGAGUAUGAACUUUGUCAACUUGUACAAGACAGUCGCACAUGCAGUGCUGAGACCAACUCUCAGUGGCAAACAACCGUCUUUCUUAACAAAAUCCAAACACUGUUUAAAGUGCAGAAUACGACGGUUGCUGACUCGACAUCUGAGUCUAAGAAUCUCAUUGUAUCUUCCUCACAAAGCUGCUAUUCCUCUUGUUUCGAUGAAGACAAGUGUCUGGCCGUCACAGUCUACAAAAGCUCUGAGUCAACUCUCAAUUGUACACGCCACACAGGCCCUAUUCAGAGCUUGAAGGAAGAAACAAGUGCCGACCUGUAUUUUGUGUCACUACACUCAAAAAGGACUUCGACAACAAGAAAGACGAAGACACUUAUUCAUAACGACUGGUUCAUGGCAUCCUGCAUCAGCGAUGAUGGAUGUCUUCAGAAGAACGCGAUGUGCUUUGAGGACAGAUGUAUUUGUCGUCCUGGGUUUUUUUCCUCAACACUGGACAAUACUUGCUCUCCGACAUGCAGCACAGCCAAACUUCAGAAUUCAUACAUGGAGUACCCGGAGAGCGGACUACGGGGACAUAAUGUCGUUUUACGGGAUCCCCUGACUUUAGAAGAGUGCAAGAUCCUGUGUGUCACAACUUCCGGUUGUCUAACCUUAGAUUUCAGAGCCAUAGGAGGGCGCUGUCUGCUGCAUAACAUCACAGCUCUUGACGUGCCAUUAGCCUGGUAUCCUCACAGUAGUAGAGGCUGGACCCACUACCAGAGGACCUGCAUGGACUCUUUAGAGUCGUAUCCUGGACCACUGUGGUACAACUCAUCGUGUCGUAGUGACCUCGACUGUCCUGACCCCAACAGUCAGUGUCUCUUGGGGAAAUGUUUAUGCCCCACUGGUUUCUUUUUGGAUCAAACCGACGUUUCCUGUCGAAUUAUUGCUAAAGAAUCGUGUAAGGAGUGGCAGAGGACACGCGCCAUCUCCGGUGUAUACAAUAUCACCACUGCAAACAUGUCGUUGAAAGUCUCAUGUGACAUGAAUAACGGCGGUGGCUGGCUGGUUUUCCAGAGACGUCGUGAUGGGUCUGUUGACUUCUACAGAAACUGGACGGACUAUGAGCAAGGCUUUGGUGACAUCACUGGAGAGUUCUGGCUUGGUUUAUACAAGAUUCACAAACUUACACAAGGCAGACCUCAUCGACUCCCGUGUUGACCUCAUGGAGAGUGGAAUGGAGAAACGUCACUAUGCUGAGUAUCGUCAUUCAGUGUGGGCGGUCCUGAUACAAAAUACAGACUCCAGGUUUCUGGUUAUUCAGGGAACGCAAGUGACAGCCUCAUAAUACAUAACAACCAAGGCUUCACCACACACGACCAAGACAAUGACAAUUACAAUGGCACUAACUGCGCUGUAUUAUUCCACGGAGCCUGGUGGUACGGAGCCUGUCACAUCUCCAACCUCAACG